Molecule: ribosomal RNA, 433 nt
Filed under: uncultured bacterium
Lineage: Bacteria
Description: partial 16S ribosomal RNA
Rfam family: Bacterial small subunit ribosomal RNA
Source: RNAcentral
AGCGAACGCUGGCGGCAGGCCUAACACAUGCAAGUCGAACGAACUCUUCGGAGUUAGUGGCGGACGGGUGAGUAACACGUGGGAACGAGCCUUUUGGUUCGGAAUAACUCAGGGACACUUGUGCUAAUACCGAAUGUGCCCUUCGGGGGAAAGAUUUAUCGCCAUUAGAGCGGCCCGCGUCUGAUUAGCUAGUUGGUGAGGUAACGGCUCACCAAGGCGACGAUCAGUAGCUGGUCUGAGAGGAUGACCAGCCACACUGGGACUGAGACACGGCCCAGACUCCUACGGGAGGCAGCAGUGGGGAAUCUUGCGCAAUGGGCGAAAGCCUGACGCAGCCAUGCCGCGUGAAUGAUGAAGGUCUUAGGAUUGUAAAAUUCUUUCACCGGGGACGAUAAUGACGGUACCCGGAGAAGAAGCCCCGGCUAACUUCGUG